AUCCUAACCGUGCAAAGGUAGCAUAAUCACUUGUCCUCUAAAUAGGGACUAGAAUGAAUGGCUAAAUGAAGACCCAACUGUCUCUUGCAGCUUACCAAUGAAACUGAUCUCUUAGUUCAAAAGCUAAGAUUUCCCCACAAGACGAGAAGACCCUGUGGAGCUAUUAAACCAAACUCACAAAAUGACCCCUUGGUUUUCAGUUGGGGCGACUUCGGAGCAUAAAAAACCCUCCGACACAGAACCAAUAAACCUAGAUGGACACAUCAAUACUCCAAGACCCAGUGGCUUGUUUUCAAACUACCUGAUCAAUGAACCAAGUUACCCCAGGGAUAACAGCGCCAUCCCCUCUUAGAGUCCCUAUCGACGAGGGGGAUUACGACCUCGAUGUUGGAUCAGGACACCCCAAUAGUGCAACCGCUAUUAAUGGUUCGUUUGUUCAACGAUUAAUAGUCCUACGUGAUCUGAGUUCAGACCGGA
Molecule: ribosomal RNA, 477 nt
Filed under: Acanthodactylus boskianus (Bosk's fringe-fingered lizard)
Lineage: Eukaryota; Metazoa; Chordata; Lepidosauria; Squamata; Lacertidae
Description: partial 16S ribosomal RNA
Rfam family: Bacterial large subunit ribosomal RNA
Source: RNAcentral